GUGCUUGCACCUGCUGACGAGUGGCGCACGGGUGCGGAACGCGUAUCGAACCUGCCCCUGUCAGGGGAAUAGCCCAUGGAAACGUGGAUUAAUGCCCCAUGGCAUCACGGGAUCGCAUGAUUUUGUGAUUAAAGAUUUAUCGGACAGGGAUGGCGAUGCGUAUCAUUAGUUAGUUGGUAAGGUAACGGCUUACCAAGGCCACGAUGAUUAGGGGCCCUGAGAGGGGGAUCCCCCACACUGGUACUGAGACACGGACCAGACUCCUACGGGAGGCAGCAGUGAGGAAUAUUGGACAAUGGUGGGAACACUGAUCCAGCCAUGCCGCGUGCAGGAUGACUGCCCUAUGGGUUGUAAACUGCUUUUAUACGGGAAGAAACCCAGGUACGUGUACCUGGCUGACGGUACCGUAAGAAUAAGGACCGGCUAACUCCGUGCCAGCAGCCGCGGUAAUACGGAGGGUCCGAGCGUUAUCCGGAAUCAUUGGGUUUAAAGGGUCCGUAGGCGGGCCAAUAAGUCAGAGGUGAAAGGCCACGGCUCAACCGUGGGACUGCCUUUGAUACUGUUGGUCUUGAGUCAUAGUGGGGUUGCCGGAACAUGUGGUGUAGCGGUGAAAUGCAUAGAUAUCACAUAGAACACCGAUCGCGAAGGCAGGUGGCCAACUAUGUACUGACGCUGAUGGACGAAAGCGUGGGGAGCGAACGGGAUUAGAUACCCCGGUAGUCCACGCCGUAAACGAUGGAUACUAGCUGUGGGGACUUCGGUCUCCGUGGCCAAGCGAAAGUGAUAAGUAUCCCACCUGGGGAGUACGUUCGCAAGAAUGAAACUCAAAGGAAUUGACGGGGGCCCGCACAAGCGGUGGAGCAUGUGGUUUAAUUCGAUGAUACGCGAGGAACCUUACCAGGGCUUAAAUGCAGUAUGACAGAUCCAGAGACGGAUUUUUCUUCGGACAUAUUGCAAGUGCUGCAUGGUUGUCGUCAGCU
RNAcentral lists this ribosomal RNA (980 nucleotides) under uncultured bacterium. RNAcentral describes it as "bacterial SSU rRNA". It matches the Rfam family "Bacterial small subunit ribosomal RNA", at positions 76 to 1060 of the family's 1533-position model. The record is from RNAcentral.